UUCCUUCUUUCACCAAUUACAUCCCGUCCUUCAUUCCCCCACCCCCCUCUUUUUCUAUCUCUUCCACCGUCCACAAAUUCUCAAAAUUCCCCAAUUUUAACUGUACAUUUUUCCUUAUUUUCUGAUCUUAAAUUCUCCAAGGAUCUGUGCUUAACUCUUGCUCUUCUCCUUCAUCUUCCUUCUUUCUUUUCUUCGUGAACUCUUGAUUCCUCUUUCUCAGCCUGUUGAGUUAAGGUGCAAUGAGCCCCUGAGACUUCUGAAAUUAAAAUAAAAUUUGAUCAUAUAAUGUCUGAUCGUGUUGCAAAAUCAGAUCCUGAUAGUGAUGGAACAGCUAGGAAAUCUAUGAAUCAUUGCCAAGCUGCUUGGAUGGAUCACUGGAAACAUGCAAGGCAUAAACCAUCCACUGAGGUUCGCAGUCAUUUACUGCACUCCCCUGGACCGAAAAAAGAUGAUCACGAAGAUUUUAAGAAGCACCCUUUGCUUUCUAGGACUGAAAUUGCAGCGAAUAUUUCAACCUAUUCUCAAGGAUUUAGAGACGUUUCUGAAGACAGAACAGAUGACACCUUGAAGAAGCGUCAGAGGAUGGCUUCAAUGAAGUCGGGGAAAGAAAUUUUAGAUGGACAGCCUCUUCCACUGUUCAGCAAUUUAGGGAAUAGGGAGAACGCCAUGUCUUCAAAGAAUAAUGCAGGUACUUCAUCUGGCGGUGAGGCAAUGAAGUAUCAAAUUGAUCUCAAUGAUGGCCAUAAUUCUAUUGGGUUGGGUAGAAGUGAGUGGACUUAUCCAGAGGGCAUAUCACGAGUUCCUCAGCAACCGAUCAAGCCUCAUGAAUUUCUUGAAAACAACACUUUAGCUGUUUCAUCAUCUUUUCGGGAUAAUGUUGGGUCAUGUUCUAAAAUUGUACCAUAUUUACUGAAUAGUGCUGCGGCUCCAACACAGUCCUUCGCAUAUUCGCAUGAAAACAUUGAUCAACCAAGCCCAGUUGUAGCAUCCAAAGAGCACCUCGCAGAUGCUAAACUUUGCAGCUAUUCUAACUUUUGGGUCCAUGAGAAGAAAGCUGAUAGCCUUUUCGAGUCCAGAAGAGUGGAGAAUUCACUGUCCAGGCAGAAUGUUGCACCUCUAUUACUUCAUGAUCAGUCAAGAAACAAUAGUCAGAAUAAGCAGAGUCAGAAAGUGGAACAUGAUUCUAGGCUUAGAUUGCUUCCAAGCUUGGGCAGUCCUGAGGCUGAGAAAUCAGGAAAAGCAUACGAUGAAUAUCUCUUGCUGCCUAGAAUACCUCGUUCUGUACAUGAUGUCAAGACCAUGAGAAUAUGUACCACUAUUGAUUCUGUGGAAGAAUUACCCACAGGUCCCUCCAAGAUUUCUCAAACAACUCACCAAUUUUUCAUUACAAAGAAGACUGGUGUUAACUUAACUGAAGGAGGACAAGAGUUCAGAGAUGCAACAGUCUCCCCCAAAUUGAAGGGAAAUAUGUUCAAUGAGUUCCUGAGCUUAUCUCCCAGUUUCAGUUUCCAUGGUCAGCAAGGAGUGAAACUGCAACCUCUGGAGAGCUCCACAGAUAGUGAAAGAAAAGAAAAUGUUCAGGACAUCAGAACUUCUACUGUUUGUUUAAAGAAUGAAUCAUCAGUUGAAACUGAUGCGAUGGAAUUGGAUGUUUUCCAGAAGAGCCUUCUUUCAGGAAUGGCUUUAUGUCCAUUAGAUCAGAACAUCAAGGGGGUUCAUAAACCAUCAUUAUCGGAAACUGGAAAUGGUAUUGGAGAAGCUGGGAAUGAAAUGGUCAACGGGGAAUCACCUGAUAUGAAUGAAAGGCUUCCUGCACUUCCAGCUGCAGCAAAUUCAAUAGAUGAUGGAGGGACAAGCACCUCUAGAACCCAGAGCCUAGAUGCAGAGCAUCUCCUUUUCCAUGCUGAGCAGCCUUCAAAUUCCAAUGCUACUGCUUGUCCAGAUGGUCCUCUGGAGCCAGAUCCAAGCAGCAGAUGGGUUAAACGUCUCAAAUUGAGCACCUCACAUCCUUUUGCUUCUGGUACUAAAAUCUCUAAAAUGGGAGAAGUUUCAUCCCGUGUAAAGAUGAACAAGAUCAGCAAAAUCAUGAAUUGCAGCAAAACAAGUUCAGAGCCCACAGUAGGUAGAAGCCACGUGAGAUCAAAAUUGGCACUGGAUCAACAUCCAGUGCUAUUAAAGAGUGGCGAGUCCAGUUCCAGUGGUUCAGGGAGGAAAAGUCAAGAAAUCUCUCUUUCGCGUACUUGGAUUCAUCGAUGGUGUCGUCACAUAGCUUCACCUCCAAACAAGAAGCCUGAUGCUGCAUUGCUAUGUGAACCACAGAGCUCAAAGGCAACAUCGGAUGAACUCCAAGAGAAGCAGUUUCCAAGCCUUGCAGCCAUGGCUUUGAUGGGGAAGGCCAUGAACAGUUUUCAUCCUUGUGAGUUUAGAAGGAAGGGGUCUUUGAUAGUUUGGAACACUUGAGAGCUUCCAAGGCAAUUCUAGCUAAAACCAUUUGUGGUGGAAAAACAAAUUGACCUUUAGGUUUUGCCGGGAGUGUUGGUGGUUCCAUUUGUUGCCGAGGGCAAUAGAUGCCUGCCCCAUCUUUAUUACGUAUGAUAAGAUAUUUGGCACAAAUGAAGUCAAAAUGUUGCCUAGGUAUGUUUCCUUCCUGCAUGCAUACAUUUCAUGUGACAUUUACAUCAAAGGGUAAAAGUUUUUGUAGCUGGGUUAUUUACGGAGGGAUCUUACAGAGGCCAUUUGUCUUGAAUGAGCACUUGGGUGGAGGAUGAAAGAGGCGAUCACAACAGCUAUCAUCUUUUCUUUUUGUUUUUCAGCUAAGAAUUACUUACUGCAACAAAAGCCCAUUGGCAUUUUCAUUUUGCAAAAAAGACUGUAAGUGUUUCUCCUCUACCCACAUUUUCUUGCCUUUCUCUUUCAAUCUUAUCAGUAGUGAUGACCGGGCACUAUUCUCUAUGAUGCUAUCGUAGAGCUACUAGAGUUCAGAUAGGGAAUAAGAGUUAUAGUACGCAGGGGCAGGGCUAAAUGUUCACAAAGCCAAAAGAAGCACGUAAGAGAAAGAUCUAUGGAAGUAUAAAGUGAAAGUUUUAAAAUUAAACUAGUUUUUAAUAUCAACUGAUUUUACGCUUUU
Gossypium raimondii (Peruvian cotton) is the source of this 3127-nucleotide RNA transcript. RefSeq lists it as uncharacterized. The record is from RefSeq and is a predicted model, not a curated record. The transcript has 5 exons. Lineage: Eukaryota; Viridiplantae; Streptophyta; Magnoliopsida; Malvales; Malvaceae.